RNAcentral lists this ribosomal RNA (497 nucleotides) under uncultured bacterium. RNAcentral's name for it is "partial 16S ribosomal RNA". It matches the Rfam family "Bacterial small subunit ribosomal RNA", at positions 28 to 507 of the family's 1533-position model. The record is from RNAcentral.
GAUGAACGCUGGCGGCGUGCCUAAUACAUGCAAGUCGAGCGAACGGACGAGAAGCUUGCUUCUCUGAUGUUAGCGGCGGACGGGUGAGUAACACGUGGAUAACCUACCUAUAAGACUGGGAUAACUUCGGGAAACCGGAGCUAAUACCGGAUAAUAUUUUGAACCGCAUGGUUCAAAAGUGAAAGACGGUCUUGCUGUCACUUAUAGAUGGAUCCGCGCUGCAUUAGCUAGAUGGUAAGGUAACGGCUUACCAAGGCAACGAUGCAAAGCCGACCUGAGAGGGUGAUCGGCCACACUGGAACUGAGACACGGUCCAGACUCCUACGGGAGGCAGCAGUAGGGAAUCUUCCGCAAUGGGCGAAAGCCUGACGGAGCAACGCCGCGUGAGUGAUGAAGGUCUUCGGAUCGUAAAACUCUGUUAUUAGGGAAGAACAUAUGUGUAAGUAACUGUGCACAUCUUGACGGUACCUAAUCAGAAAGCCACGGCUAACUACGUG